This 21-nucleotide non-coding RNA is filed under the name Caenorhabditis elegans. The record is from RNAcentral. Lineage: Eukaryota; Metazoa; Nematoda; Chromadorea; Rhabditida; Rhabditidae.
UCAGAAAACUUUUUAGUCAUG